This is a non-coding RNA of Elaeis guineensis (African oil palm), 902 nucleotides long. The record is from RefSeq and is a predicted model, not a curated record. Lineage: Eukaryota; Viridiplantae; Streptophyta; Magnoliopsida; Arecales; Arecaceae.
CAAAUUACUAAAAUAAAAAUCACUUAUUUCUAUUAUCAUUUUAGAGUCUAAAUGUUUAGUUUUCUUCAAUCAAAUAUGUCUUUAAUUUAAGAAAAUAAAUUUUAUCGUAUGCUAGGAAUGCAUGCACGGUAGUUGACAGCAUCUGCAUGAGAUAUGUUUGAAUAAGAUAAUAACCCAUUGCCCUCGGAAAGGUAAGAUGAUAAUUUCUCCUGCAGAUGACCCUUUGAUCAUUCAUAUCUAUUAAAAUGAAGGCAUCAGCGUCUGUCUACCACGUGUUUAUUUUCUCCGUCCGUUAUGUGCUUGGAAAGAAAUAAAAAAACGAUGGUAUUCCAGAGAGUCCAAAGGGAAAAGAAGAGAAGAGAUCAUUGAAUCUGAAUUGAAAGGGAUCGAGAAGGAGUGGUCCGCGAUGGUGAUGUCAAUGGCGAGAUUGGGGCUCCGAGCGGCGGACACCACCGCCUUUCGUGGAGGAGUGAAGAGCGGCUCCUGUCCUGUUAUUCGCAACAAGUAGAGCUUCUCCGCCGCGAUAUCCAUGUCGAGAUCGGGGCUUCGAGCGACGACUGUCUUUCAUAGAGGUGCGAAGAGCCGCUCCCAUCCUGUUAUUCCCAACAAGCAAAGCUUCUCCGCCUCCGCUUACCAUGACGAUGCCUAUGAGACCGUGAAAUGGGAGAAGAUUACAUACGCUGGAAUUGUAACCUCACCAUUUUGUCCAUCUAUAACCUCUCUACGGGCUAUCCUCACCAUUCUAACCCCCCAAUAGUGAUUUUUCUGAUCAUUUUUAUCCUAAUUUAGUCUGCUAUGUGAAAGUUUUUUUUUUUUGCUGUAAUUUGUAUGCAUAUCUGCAUAUAAUUCUGAUAUUUUUUGUAUAAUUUAUUUUGAUUAUAUUAUAAAAAUUUAUUUUUGGU